AGACCGAUAGCGAACAAGUAGAGUGAUCGAAAGAUGAAAAGCACUUUGGAAAGAGAGUCAAACAGCACGUGAAAUUGUUGAAAGGGAAGCGCUUGCAGCCAGACUUGCUUGUAGUUGCUCAUCCGGGCUUUUGCCCGGUGCACUCUUCUGCGAGCAGGCCAGCAUCAGUUUGGACGGUUGGAUAAAGGCCUCUGUCACGUACCUUCUCUCGGGAAGGCCUUAUAGGGGAGGCGUCAUGCAACCAGUCUGGACUGAGGUCCGCGCAUCUGCUAGGAUGCUGGCGUAAUGGCUGUAAGCGGCCCGUCUUGAAACACGGACCAAG
This 322-nucleotide ribosomal RNA is filed under the name dematiaceous sp. CL090. RNAcentral's name for it is "LSU rRNA". It matches the Rfam family "Eukaryotic large subunit ribosomal RNA", at positions 331 to 670 of the family's 3401-position model. The record is from RNAcentral. Lineage: Eukaryota; Fungi; Ascomycota.